GCAGGUGGAAUGUGGCCACCCUUGACAUCAAAAAUGUCAAGGGAGGAAAGUCCGGGCUCCGAAGGAUAACGUAGUAGGAUAAUCUCCUACCCGUCUGGCGUAAGCUGGAUGAGGAUAUCCGCCACAAGGCGUGGCGGAUCCCGCCAAGUAUUUUGGCGGGAGAGCCACAGAGACGAGCACAGGCGAAUGGUUAUGAGAAGAUCCUUCGCCCCGCCUUGGCGGGGCUCAGGAUCAUCUCGUAGCCUUCGGCUACGAGAUGAAACGCGGCAAUCUCUACGCGGAGCAAGGCGAAUAGUCCCGCCUAUUUUAUUCUUGGGGUAUAGGGAAGUAUAAACUACCCACUACGAAAAUCGCAGUAAGUUAUUGUCGAAGGCGAUUUUCUUGAUAAAAGGAUAAAAAUAAGGGUGAUCCGUCCGAAUACGGCGGGAGGGUAUUAAGCUGCUAGAGCCCCAGCGUUACGCCGGGGUCGAGAGGAAUGGCCACAACCACGGAUUUCACGGAUAUAACACAGAUUCCACUAAUUAAAGAAAUUAUCCGUGUAGUUUGUGGUUACAGAACCCGGCUUAUUCCGCCUGUCUUU
Molecule: RNase P RNA, 580 nt
Filed under: Candidatus Omnitrophica bacterium CG08_land_8_20_14_0_20_41_16
Lineage: Bacteria; Pseudomonadati; Candidatus Omnitrophota
Description: RNase P RNA component class A
Rfam family: Bacterial RNase P class A
About the family: Ribonuclease P (RNase P) is a ubiquitous endoribonuclease, found in archaea, bacteria and eukarya as well as chloroplasts and mitochondria.
Source: RNAcentral